RNAcentral lists this long non-coding RNA (837 nucleotides) under Phascolarctos cinereus (koala). RNAcentral's name for it is "lncRNA (ENSPCIG00000035127.1)". Lineage: Eukaryota; Metazoa; Chordata; Mammalia; Diprotodontia; Phascolarctidae. The record is from RNAcentral.
UGGACUGAAGGGGAACCAAAACCAGCCAAAAAGACUGAAUUCAACAAACAUUUCAUUCAGCAUCAUUGAUCAUGUGUGUACUGAGGCAGUAAAGGAAGAAAAGCUGAAAAAGCAGGUGCUGUCCAAGAAACCCAAAUAAGAAUUCUGGAUGUGACUGGAAUGAUAGAGAACUCAAGCUCCACAUAACAACUGCCAUGAGAUAUGUGCAUAUGCUCAAAAGCCCCUUUGGCAUGCCCUGACCUGACAGAGGAGUCAACUGAUUCUCAGGAAUGUACCAGGAGAAGGUGGAAGGCAGGUAGCUUCCCAGGGGAGGCCCGUGGGUCCCGAAGGGCAUCUGUGGGGGUCAGGGGGGAGGGGGGGACCAUGUCGAAAGAUGGGUGCAGGAAGCUGGAGAAGACGACGAAGCUCAGGAGUCGGCGUGUUAGGGCCAAGGGGCAGAGGGGAAGGAGGCGAGGAGGAGCUGGCGUGCCGUGUGGCUUCGGGCGCCCUGCAGCCCCCUCCCCAGCCUCCGGGCCACGGCCCGGGGUUCACUGGGCUGCAGUACUGAGCUUGGCCGCACCGCUUGCACGGCCGGCUGUCAAGCCCGGGGGGCGGGCAGGAGGAAGGGGUGGGGGUACGGCGGGCGGGAGGGGGAGGAGGGCUGGCACCGGAGCGCCGCCGCGGUGUCGGUGCAAUAAAAAUGCAUCCCGUGAAACUGCCCAUGGAGAAAGACGAGACGGAGCCUGGGGAGCAGCAGCAAGCGGAGGCGGAGGGAGAAGAGCGGGACGCCCAGGAGGCGGCGGCGGCGGCGGCCGGGAACUGAAAGGUCUCGGAAAGUUCAGUGUCCGCGGCGGGUGA